This 580-nucleotide ribosomal RNA is filed under the name Trichoderma harzianum. RNAcentral's name for it is "eukaryotic LSU rRNA". The stretch from base 206 to 359 matches the Rfam family "5.8S ribosomal RNA". The record is from RNAcentral. Lineage: Eukaryota; Fungi; Ascomycota; Sordariomycetes; Hypocreales; Hypocreaceae.
AGGGGGACUUCGAGUAACUCCAACCCAAUGUGAACGUUACCAAACUGUUGCCUCGGCGGGAUCUCUGCCCCGGGUGCGUCGCAGCCCCGGACCAAGGCGCCCGCCGGAGGACCAACCAAAACUCUUAUUGUAUACCCCCUCGCGGGUUUUUUUUAUAAUCUGAGCCUUCUCGGCGCCUCUCGUAGGCGUUUCGAAAAUGAAUCAAAACUUUCAACAACGGAUCUCUUGGUUCUGGCAUCGAUGAAGAACGCAGCGAAAUGCGAUAAGUAAUGUGAAUUGCAGAAUUCAGUGAAUCAUCGAAUCUUUGAACGCACAUUGCGCCCGCCAGUAUUCUGGCGGGCAUGCCUGUCCGAGCGUCAUUUCAACCCUCGAACCCCUCCGGGGGGUCGGCGUUGGGGAUCGGCCCUGCCUUGGCGGUGGCCGUCUCCGAAAUACAGUGGCGGUCUCGCCGCAGCCUCUCCUGCGCAGUAGUUUGCACACUCGCAUCGGGAGCGCGGCGCGUCCACAGCCGUUAAACACCCAACUUCUGAAAUGUUGACCUCGGAUCAGGUAGGAAUACCCGCUGAACUUAAGCAUAUCA